Molecule: long non-coding RNA, 1323 nt
Filed under: Theobroma cacao (cacao)
Lineage: Eukaryota; Viridiplantae; Streptophyta; Magnoliopsida; Malvales; Malvaceae
Description: long non-coding RNA (TCAC_LNC001095)
Source: RNAcentral
CACAGCCGUUCUUUGGCGUUGGCUGAAUUCACUCUCACGUGGUGGCUUGGCGUGAAGUGAACUCUAAACUUUACCCCAAGAGAUACCCUACGGGCCUUUCUGACCGAGGUAAGAAUAUAACCGAAUUUCGUGCCCCUCAAUAGGCUGGCCCACAGAAGCUGCCACUGCAGUGACCAAUCUAUAACCCACCAAUUCAAUAAAAAUUCAACAGCAUGACAUGGCAAUUUUAUCAUUAUCUAGCCUAUCAAGGGAAACAACAGUUUAUACAUUUUCAACACAAAUACCCAUCCAGCCAUUCAUGCCCACAUUAUCAUAAGCCAUUCAAUUCAAAACAUAAUUUACAAUACAUCAAGUAGUCUCUAAUUACUCCAUUUUCAAGUCAUCAUUCAAUUUCAAAACAAUUUAUAAAAUCAUUUCAUUUAAACACAUUUUCUAUAAAAUUAUAAAAUCGGAUAAAAACAUACUUUAGAUAAUUAAGACAAUAAUAAGGUUACUCACAAUAUCGAGAGUCAAAGUACUCCUAGUCCCGAUCUUCAGGUACAACUUCUUUGCCCUUACCGGAGGAUUCACCACCUAGACAUAAUGCAUAAGCAAUUUACCACAUUGGUGCUAAACCAUUAUAAAACUAAUCUAGGCUCUAUAUGAAUGCAUGAAAUGGAAUGCGAAUUGUUCGGAUCUCGUCUAAACACGAUGUUCUACAUAAAUUCAAUUGUGUACCUAAAUAAAACGAUAUUGGCCUAAUUUGAUCUAUCACCCGAUUAAUUGGAAAAUAUGUCCAAUUUAACUCCAAAUAACUCCAUUUCUCUCCCAAUACUCCAAAUCAUCAAACUCAAGUCAAGUAACAUAAAAUUUAGGAAGAUCAUCUUCACAUUUCUUCUUGGGAAUUUUGGCCAUGGUGGGUGCAUGAACAGUAUGGUUUUUCCCACUUGAUUUUUACACCAUAAAUCAUUAAUUCCUAACCAAAUCACUUUAAAUAAAAUCAAGUCCACCAUCAACACACCAUAGGGAAGAUUCGACCAAUGGAGGGUGAUGGAAGAAAAUGAAUUUUUCUUGUUUGCUUUUCAUGCUACACAUCACUAACUAACUAAAAAUACUAGAAUAUAUUGAAAUCUAACCAAAUCCAAGUUCAAAACUCCUCCCCCCAUAUCCGGCCAACAAAGGUAUCCUCAUGCAAACUUGAUUCUCAACCAUGGAAAAUGAAAAAGAAUGCAUAGGAAAGGUAGAUCACAAGCUAGAAUUGAAAAAUCUUACCUUUUGUCACUUGAUUCUUUGAAAUUUUGUGAAUUUCUCUUGAAUUUCUUAGCGAGGUUUUUGUUCUUCUUC